This 461-nucleotide ribosomal RNA is filed under the name uncultured Anaerolineaceae bacterium. Its description in RNAcentral is "bacterial SSU rRNA". It matches the Rfam family "Bacterial small subunit ribosomal RNA", at positions 907 to 1382 of the family's 1533-position model. The record is from RNAcentral. Lineage: Bacteria; Bacillati; Chloroflexota; Anaerolineae; Anaerolineales; Anaerolineaceae.
GAAUUGACGGGGACCCGCACAAGCAGCGGAGCGUGUGGUUUAAUUCGUUGCUACACGAAGAACCUUACCUGGGUUUGACAUAUAGGUUGUAGGGAACUGAAAAGGGACCGACCCUUCGGGGAGCCUAUACAGGUGUUGCAUGGCUGUCGUCAGCUCGUGUCGUGAGAUGUUCGGUUAAGUCCGCUAACGAGCGCAACCCUCGUCGUAUGUUAUAUGUGUCAUACGAGACUGCCGGUAAAAGCCGGAGGAAGGUGAGGAUGAUGUCAAGUCAGCAUGACCUUUAUAUCCAGGGCUACACACACGCUACAAUGGUCUGUACAAUGGGUAGCCAAGCCGCGAGGCGGAGCCAAUCCUGAAAGCAGGCCUCAGUUCAGAUUGCAGUCUGCAACUCGACUGCAUGAAGCCGGAGUUGCUAGUAACCGCAGGUCAGCAAUACUGCGGUGAAUACGUUCCCGGGUCUU